RNAcentral lists this ribosomal RNA (619 nucleotides) under Staphylococcus pasteuri. RNAcentral's name for it is "bacterial SSU rRNA". It matches the Rfam family "Bacterial small subunit ribosomal RNA", at positions 53 to 655 of the family's 1533-position model. The record is from RNAcentral. Lineage: Bacteria; Bacillati; Bacillota; Bacilli; Caryophanales; Staphylococcaceae.
ACAUGCAGUCGAGCGAACAGAUAAGGAGCUUGCUCCUUUGACGUUAGCGGCGGACGGGUGAGUAACACGUGGAUAACCUACCUAUAAGACUGGGAUAACUUCGGGAAACCGGAGCUAAUACCGGAUAAGAUUUUGAACCGCAUGGUUCAAUAGUGAAAGACGGCCUUGCUGUCACUUAUAGAUGGAUCCGCGCCGUAUUAGCUAGUUGGUAAGGUAACGGCUUACCAAGGCAACGAUACGUAGCCGACCUGAGAGGGUGAUCGGCCACACUGGAACUGAGACACGGUCCAGACUCCUACGGGAGGCAGCAGUAGGGAAUCUUCCGCAAUGGGCGAAAGCCUGACGGAGCAACGCCGCGUGAGUGAUGAAGGUCUUCGGAUCGUAAAACUCUGUUAUCAGGGAAGAACAAACGUGUAAGUAACUGUGCACGUCUUGACGGUACCUGAUCAGAAAGCCACGGCUAACUACGUGCCAGCAGCCGCGGUAAUACGUAGGUGGCAAGCGUUAUCCGGAAUUAUUGGGCGUAAAGCGCGCGUAGGCGGUUUUUUAAGUCUGAUGUGAAAGCCCACGGCUCAACCGUGGAGGGUCAUUGGAAACUGGAAAACUUGAGUGCAAAAGA